Molecule: ribosomal RNA, 253 nt
Filed under: uncultured bacterium
Lineage: Bacteria
Description: partial 16S ribosomal RNA
Rfam family: Bacterial small subunit ribosomal RNA
Source: RNAcentral
UACGUAGGGUGCAAGCGUUGUCCGGAAUUAUUGGGCGUAAAUAGCUUGUAGGCGGUUUGUCGCGUCUGCUGUGAAAUUUCGGGGCUCAACCCCGAACUUGCAGUGGGUACGGGCAGACUAGAGUGUGGUAGGGGAGACUGGAAUUCCUGGUGUAGCGGUGAAAUGCGCAGAUAUCAGGAGGAACACCGAUGGCGAAGGCAGGUCUCUGGGCCAUAACUGACGCUGAGAAGCGAAAGCAUGGGGAGCGAACAGG